This 253-nucleotide ribosomal RNA is filed under the name uncultured bacterium. Its description in RNAcentral is "partial 16S ribosomal RNA". It matches the Rfam family "Bacterial small subunit ribosomal RNA", at positions 524 to 776 of the family's 1533-position model. The record is from RNAcentral.
UACGUAGGUGGCAAGCGUUGUCCGGAUUUAUUGGGCGUAAAGGGAACGCAGGCGGUCUUUUAAGUCUGAUGUGAAAGCCUUCGGCUUAACCGGAGUAGUGCAUUGGAAACUGGGAGACUUGAGUGCAGAAGAGGAGAGUGGAACUCCAUGUGUAGCGGUGAAAUGCGUAGAUAUAUGGAAGAACACCAGUGGCGAAAGCGGCUCUCUGGUCUGUAACUGACGCUGAGGGUCGAAAGCGUGGGUAGCAAACAGG